GAUCGCAAGAGAAGCCCACCCCACCGCCCAGCUUCCCUAACCUCCCGAUGUCGCCCGAGCCCUCUCCCACCAGCGCGUCGCCGCCGCCCCGAGCCCCCUCCCACCAGCGCGUCGCCGCCGCCCCCAAGCCCCUCCCACUAGCGAGCCGCCGCCGCCCCGAUCGCCUUCCCACCAUCGCGCCGUCGUCGCCCCCAUGCCCCUCUCACCAGCGCGGCGCCGCCGCCCCGAUCCCCCUCCCACCAGCGCGGCGCCGCCACCCCAAGCCCCUCCCACUAGCGCGCCGCCACCGCUGCCCCGACCCCCCCUCCCACCAGCGCGCCGCCACCGCCCUAAACUCCCUCCCACGGCCAUAUCACCCGCGCCGCCGGCCGCUCCUCCCUCGCGCACGCCACCUGCGGCUGCCACGCCAUGGCAGGCACUGAGUCGUUGCGGCAGUACAAUUGCACGCUCCGCCGCUGGUCAUGAGAAGAGCUGCGUGCAGGCCACCCAUGCUCUUUUCCCUGGAUCCGAUUCAGUUGCCUUCCUCUCAUCCUCUCUCUGUUUGCGUGUGUGUAUGAAGGAAGUGAGAGGAGAUAGAACAAGGGAGUGACAGAUCCCCAUUCUCAUGUCUGUGAGAUGUGGGUGUGUGAUUUCCCAAUGUCAAAUCCCACGUUUGUCUUGAUUAGUUGUAGUUUUAUGGAUCUUGUUCUUGUGCAAUGUAAAUCUGUGUAUAGUUCACCUAUUUUCUCUCUAAAACUGUGAGCUGAUAGAGCAGAGAUGAGUUGACGGUGUGGGUUCAGGUAGUGAGAUUUGCAGCUAGUUGUUUACUUGCUUAGGUGGUUGCAAGGGCUUAGUCCAUGAGUUCUAUUUGAUUAUAGUCAGGCCACUAGUUAGUAUUGUGGUACUCCGUUGCAAGAAAAAUGGGUCGUCGGUUCAGUUAUAGGUACCCAACUCUGAAGAUUUUGAAAUUUUAGCAUGGUAUUUUAAGUUUGUUUUUUAUCAUAUAAUGUAAAAUUGUAAAUAUGUUUCCAAUGGUCUUUGCUCCCAGUUCGGAACUUCUUAUUCAGUCUGUUAGUACAGUCGUCGCGGUCGCCACCCCGACGCCUAGCCCGCCAACCUGCGUCGUGUUGCCCCGGGACCCCCGAGCACUGCCGCGCCCCAUCGCCGGUGCCUGACGGUGAGGGCUACCGUCUUUUCCCGACAAAGCAGGCUACCAUCCGUCCAUUGACAAUGCGUAUUUCCAGCCGUUGCUGCAUCUCUCUCUGCCCGUGGAUGCUCAUGUGCUGUAGUUGCUUUCUACCCUUCCUGUACAUGCUGCUACUCACCUUUUUAUCUCUCUGAUGCGUUGUGUUGCAUUACUACAGCUCGAUCCAGGAGGUGCUAGCUCAUACUGGCUGGAACUAGGAUGCAAAAGCGAUGACGGAUCCAUGCCGCACAAGCACUGGUGCUCUGCAUUCUUCUUACUUUGUGUUCUAAUUUGCUUUCUUCUUAUUUUCAGUUUGCGAGAUACAAAAAGAAGUUAAAAAAAUGUUGUGCCUGGAGUUCAUAUUAUUUGCUACCCCAUGAUGUACGUCUAUAGUUUCUCCCUCCAAAUGUGUUGGUCCAUGUGGUUGUUUUUUUUUGUUUUGAAUCUACGAAAAAGGUUAUUAAAGCACAAAUUUGAUAAGCACAUAAGUUCAGAUCUCCGCUGCUACAAACUUCACGUAUACAUCUGUCUGUUUUAAUUGUGGCAUACAAAUUUUGCACUACGAGAAAGUCCAGAGGCAAGAAAGUAGAAAAUAAAGAACACAAAAAUAUCAACAAAAAAUUCACUAGGGGAAAAGUUCAAGUCAGGAUAUGUAAGAAAAGUUCUUAUUUUAUUUCAGUUCAAUUUCAAAUUCUAGUGAAAUUUCAUUUCUAAUUUUAAUUUAGUCUAGUUUCUUAUUUUAGUUUAGUUCAAUAUCUAAUUUUUAUUCAGUUCAAUUCUUAUUUUAGAAAAAAAUUGAAUUGUUACUUUAUCUACAUUCUUCUAUUCAACAUCAGGGAGAAGGUGCCUCAUGUUAAAAGCGUGCCAAGAUUUUCUAAGUACCCCAGACCCAUCCUGGCGCCGCCCGGCCCCAACCUCCAACCUCCCUGGAUCCUGGCACUACCUCCUCCCUGGAUCCCGGCGCCGCACGCUCCUAUCUCCCCAGAUCCCCACGACGCCUAGUCCCCAACCUCUCUGGCUCCUGGCACCGCCAACCGCCAUCCUCUGCCAGCUCCGUUAGCCGCCUCCACCUGUUUCCUCCUGCGGGUCGAACGGUGCGAAUCUGGCCGACGUGGCAGGGCUGUGAGACUCGCCGGGGUCGAGCUCCUCCGCCUCUAGCCGUCGAUCCAUAGUUCAUUGUCAGUACAGGUUCUGAAACUGCCUAGUACAUGUUGGGGGACAUUUCUGGAAUCAUGUAUCCUAGCUAGCUUGCAGCUGUAAUUUUGAUUGCAUAGCAGUAUAGUUUAGUUGUCUCUGAAGUUUUGAUUCACAGCAGUACAAUUUAGUCCCAGCUGCCAUGAUUCUGCAAACCAUUGUGCUCCCAAAAGAUGGUGCUUUGUUGCAACAAGUUGUGGGAAAAAUGCAGUGAAAAAAAAUAAAAUGUGCUCCCACAAGUUCAUAUGAUAUAUUGUUGUUAAUUCAAUUUCUUUUAUAUACCUCUACACAUGUUUGUUGAAAUGCUGACACGGAGCUAGACUUGUUUUUUUGUUCAUGUUUCUUGUUUCUUAAAACAACCGGUAUACUACUAUCAAAAUUGAAGCCACAAUAAAGAUCUCAUCUCUAAAUUGAUGAUUCAGCCAUGUUUGCUUGUGUGUACUGCUGAACUGACAAUGUUACUAAACUUGUGUUCUCGCUGAUUCUGAACUGUUGCUGGUAGCAUUUGUGAUGCUCGUCUGAUUUUGGUUGGAAGUUUAAUGAAUCCAUACAUAGUUCAACUUUUAGGAAGUUAAAAGUUCAACGAGUGUCUUAGAGAAAACUUGGAAGUUUUGUCUAUAUAAAAAAGAUAACAAAAUAUAUGUGUUCUGACCUAAGAUGUUCAGGAAAGAGUUCCAGACCAUCCCCGGUCGCCGCGUUCCCGGGAAGCCAUGCGACAGCCACCACCACUGCGAGCAACAACCACCAUCACUGCUAGCUGCCGGUGCAGCGUCCCACCAGCCCCCAUGCGCCUCCAUCCCUCAAGCUCCCAGAUGCGUCGUCGUGAACCCUUUGUUCCCCAUCGCUGCCUCCUCCAACUCCUUUCAUGGCUCUGGAAAAUCACUGAUCAGUUCAGGUCGCCCGUGGAGUUUUAGAUAUAUGCAAAAUCGGAUUAGAGCACCAUGCUCUCACCCAAAAGUUUGAAAAACCAUUGCUUUCCGUUCUGGUAACAUAUGUUUUUGUUUCAGUUUUGCUAAUUCUUUCUCCAAUGGGCCUUUAUAUAUUAUCUUUCACUUGUCUUACUAUAUGAAAAAAUAUGCGGCCUUUAGCGAGCAAUCUUGCUCAGUUUUCUGGUUAAAAAAACAGACAACAUGGAUUUACCAUGUUCUAUCAAAGAAAGCUGGAGUUCAAAUUCUAAUUUUAGUACAGUGAAGAUCAAUGGGAAAAUGCACAAAAAGUUCAGACUCUUGUUUCCUAAAGUGUUUGUCUUGGUAUGUCUAGCCCAAACAAUCAUCAAUUUUUUAAAAAUAUUUCUCUGCUGUCAAAUAAAAGAUACAAUAAUUAUUAUGGACAUGUUCAUUACAAACUUUUGUAAUGGUGCAGUACACCUAUUUAAAAAAAUUAUAUAUUUACAAAA
Aegilops tauschii subsp. strangulata is the source of this 3755-nucleotide non-coding RNA. Lineage: Eukaryota; Viridiplantae; Streptophyta; Magnoliopsida; Poales; Poaceae. The record is from RefSeq and is a predicted model, not a curated record.